UGUGGGAGCGAGCCUGCUCGCGAUGGCGGAGUGUCAGGUGAUUUCUCUUACACAGUCACACUGCAAUCGCGAGCAGGCUCGCUCCCACA
RNAcentral lists this unclassified non-coding RNA (89 nucleotides) under Pseudomonas sp. A214. The record is from RNAcentral. Lineage: Bacteria; Pseudomonadati; Pseudomonadota; Gammaproteobacteria; Pseudomonadales; Pseudomonadaceae.